Molecule: non-coding RNA, 3536 nt
Organism: Nelumbo nucifera (sacred lotus)
Lineage: Eukaryota; Viridiplantae; Streptophyta; Magnoliopsida; Proteales; Nelumbonaceae
Source: RefSeq, a predicted model, not a curated record
GCUGCGGUGUUCGAAGUACAAACAACUAAAGAUAUCGAAGCGAUACUCGUAGAGACUCUGAAGUCUGAGCUGAGCCGAGCUCCGAAAAAAAGAAAAAAAUGGAAAACGUGGAGAAGAUCAAGUUCGUAUUCACAGUUGCUUGCUUUGCUGCAAUCUCAUUCUUCGUCACCACAACUUAUCGGAGACGUCGUAAACAGAAGUUUUCUGCAAAUCUCUGCUACCUGGAGAAAGAGCAGAAGCCACAGAAUACCUUCAAACGUUUAUUGGCUGAUAACUCAUAUAUUCCAUUCAAACACUUCAAUCGAAAUGAAACACAUGAAGAGAUGUCUUCAAACUCACAUCCAUAUGAACAAGAGAUUAGAGCUCUGUUGGAGAAACCUCCGGUUGAGUUCGCCUUCGUUACCGGUGAAUUUAAUUUAAAGAUGAGUGGUUCUCACGUUUGGGUUGAGACGGAGUCUCAAUUGAAGGAGCUUGUCGAGGUAUUGAGGAACGAACGAGUUUUCGCAGUUGAUACAGAACAGCAUAGCCUGCGCUCCUUCCUAGGAUUUACGGCUUUGGUGCAGAUUUCCACUCAGAAGGAAGAUUAUCUGGUUGACACAAUCGCUCUCUACGAUGUAAUGAGCAUCCUUCGCCCUGUUUUUUCUAAUCCGAGUAUUUGCAAGGUCUUUCAUGGUGCUGACAACGAUGUCCUCUGGCUGCAGAGAGACUUCCACAUAUACGUGGUAAACUUAUUUGACACUGCAAAGGCAUGUGAGUUGCUAUCAAAACCGCACAAGUCUUUGGCAUAUUUACUUGAAACAUAUUGUGGUGUGAUGACAAACAAAAUGCUGCAGCGCGAAGACUGGAGGAUGCGACCACUAUCAGAAGAAAUGGUACAAUAUGCUCGUGUGGAUGCUCACUACCUGCUGUAUAUUGCCAAUCGUCUUGCCACUGAACUUAAGUCACAGGUUACUGAUAUCAAUUUGUCAGAAAAUUCAGCUUGUCUCGAUGAUAAAUUCCAUUUUGUUCUCGAGGCUAGCCGGAGGUCAAACAUGGUCUGUUUGCAGCUUUAUGUGAAAGAGAUUGAAGCUUCUCCUGGAGAUUCUGCUGCAUCAUCGAUAUGUUCACGUCAUUUGAAUGGACAAGGUUUCUUGUCAAGUUGUGAAACCAAGGAACUUGUGAGGCAAUUAUGCACAUGGCGAGAUUUAAUGGCUCGCGUGCAUGAUGAGAGCUUGAGAUAUGUAUUAUCAGACCAAGCCAUUGUUGCUCUUGCAUCCAAAGUUCCAAAGACUUCAAAAGAAAUAUUUGAUACCAUAUCUGAAGCUGAUAUAAACAUGGAUCUUUUGACCGCUGGAUCUUUGGUUUCAUCACCUUCACCUAUUGUCUGCAGUCAUUUGGAGGACUUUCAUUAUAUCCUUCAAGACAAGUUAGGCAGCCCAGAUGAAGUCUUUGAAAGAACUCUGCAAAAGUGUCUUGGCUCCAAUGGUAGUUGCCCACUUUCUAUUUAUAACUAUGCUUUAUUAUCCAAAUCAAACCUGAAAUCAACAAAUGGAUUAUUGGUCAAACAAAAGGGAAGUAAAACAGAAAAAAAGGUUGGUCGAAAGUCUUCUCGAGAGUUGUUUGUACAGAAAUUUUCCUGCAAAUCUCCUGUUUAUCAUAACUGUAGGAUUUAUGCAAGUGAUGGGCGGUUACUUUGUUAUUGUGACCGCAGAAAGCUCGAGUGGUAUCUUCGCCGUGACCUAGCAAAACUCAUUGAUGAUGAUCCACUGGCUAUAAUGCUUCUUUUUGAGCCAAAAGGUCGCCCAGAAGAUGAAGGAAAUGAUUUCUAUAUACAGAGCAAGAAAAAUAUAUGUGUAGGCUGUGGUGAAGGAAACCACUAUUUACGCUACCGAAUCAUACCCUCAUGUUACAGGAUGCACUUUCCAGAACAUUUGAAAAGUCAUCGUUCUCAUGAUAUUGUCCUACUUUGUGUGGACUGUCAUGAAGUUGCUCAUUCUGCUGCAGAGAAAUAUAAAAAACAGAUAGCCUCAGAAUUUGGUAUUCCACUUUAUGUCAGGAAAGUACUUGAUUCAACUCAAAAACAAGCCAUAACUGAGACAUCUGGGCCCAUGGAGAGAAUUGAGGAAGCAGGUGUGUCUCCCUUGCAGUUGCGAACUGCAGCUAUGGCUCUUUUGCGCCAUGGGCCAAGAAUGCCAGCAAAACGCCGUGAAGAGCUGACCCUGGUUGUCAUGAAAUAUUUUGGAGGGAGGGAAAUAUCAGAGGAAGAUUUAGAAAGGGCUUUAUUGGUUGGUAUGAGUCCUCAUGAAAGACGAAGGCUUGAAAAGAAAAGAGGGUUGUCCUUCAAACAUUCCAAGGAGAGUCUCCUUUCAAAUGAAACCAAUGGACCCAGUACUGGAAUCAUUGGCACAGCCGCUCUUCUUGAAACAUUGGAAACUGAUGUAUCAAAUGGUGCACCCAGUCCUAAAGAAUCAGAACCGAACGCAGAAGGAGACGAGAUUCUUUUCAAGGAAAUGGAUGCAUGUGCAAGAGAAGGAUCUAUGUAUUCUGGUAUAGAAGUGGAUCAGGAAACUUCCACUACUGGUACUGAGGAUCAGAACUUUGAGAGGGUAAAUGCUUGUGUUUUGGAAAAUGUUGGUUUUGAAAGCGUAGUAACAGAAACUGGUAAUUCCUCUCUCAAAUACAAUCCAAAAUUAUCAUUGCUGGGACAUGGGCCACAUGGAAAACAAGUGGUGGAUUAUCUACUAAAGGAGUACGGAGAGGAUGGAAUUCGGCAAUUUUGUCAAAGGUGGAGACAAGUCUUUGUGGAAGCCAUUAAUCCUCGUUUCUUACCUGCUGGUUGGGAUGUGAUGCACAGUUCCCCUGCUAUGAAUUUUGCUUAACAUGGAGGUUCUUACAACAUUAGUGUUACAAGACUGAGGUCAUCAUUUGAAGCUCUAUUACCAAAUGUUUGAUUGGUAGUCACAGUUUUAGCCCAACCUCAUCCGUUCCUCGGGCUGGAGAAGAAUUAAUGGAAGUAAAUAUCUAGAUGGUACAUCCUCAAAAUUUUCAGGAAAGUACAGACUAUGUUACGCAGAUAUGAUAAUACAGCAUGAUAUGGCAUUAGAUAUGGAAUUUAAAAAUUGAAAUAUCUGACACAAUACGGCAUCCUCGUACAGGGAUUUGGCGAGUACAGUGUGUACAAGCUCUGAUAUUGGAACAAUAUUUUUGCCAGCGGCCGACGGGAAUUUGGCGAGUACAGUGUGUAUAACCCUGCAAAGAGAGUUUUGAGUAUGGCUUAAUAAUGAUGGGUGAAAGGAUCAGACUGCCAGAGUACCAGGUGCGAGAGGGUGGAAUAAUGUAGUUCUUUAUGUUCACAUGAUCUGUAAUUGAUAGAGGUAACUUCUCUUCUGCUGCGUUUAUUUCAUCCAAAUUCUGGGUGAUUCACCGCAGGGGAAGUGUAAUCGAGUGAAUUCUACCCUAAAAGCUUUUCUAUAUUUCUUUUUUUUUUUUGGCAUAUCCCUUAAUUUAUUGAAUAUUUAAUUUGCUCCAUUAUGAUCAAUCUCUCAUGCGUUCAGUUA